Molecule: transfer RNA, 72 nt
Filed under: Olea europaea subsp. europaea
Lineage: Eukaryota; Viridiplantae; Streptophyta; Magnoliopsida; Lamiales; Oleaceae
Rfam family: tRNA
About the family: Transfer RNA (tRNA) molecules are approximately 80 nucleotides in length.
Source: Rfam by way of RNAcentral
GGUUCCAUGGUGUAGUGGUUAGCACUCUGGACUUUAAAUCCAGGGACCUGUGUUCGACUCCGGGUGGGACCU